CCCAUUUUUGAUAAUAAUCUUGUUGAUAUUUUCUGUAUUUCUGAAACCAAAAUUGAUCAUUCUUUCAGUGAUAACCUGUUCUCAGUUGAUGGAUACAAGUUACACAGAUGUGAUAGAGAUGCCCAUGGUGGAGGCUUGCUGACACUAAUACGGGCUGAUUUACCUAUUAAACGCCGUACAGAUUUAGAAAAUCAAGGUAUCAAAAAAGUGUAAAUGUCCCAAGGGUCAAAACAGUAACAUACGGUAAGAAUUCUUUUAAGUUUGAAGGUGCCCAGAUUUGGAACAGUCUCCCUAAUGACAUCCGCAAGGUUGAAAAUUACAAAGAGUUUGGGAGACUGAUCCAGGUCUGGAGUGGCCCAAGCUGUAAAUGUGCUAUGUGCUUGUAAAUUUGCUAUGUGUUUGUUUUUCUGCUUAGUUUUAAUUUAUGUAAAUGCUUAGACUACAUGUUUUGUUUGUUUGCCUUGCUUUUGUGCAUCCCUUUUAGUUUGCUAUGAUGCUCUGAUUAUAUGUUGUGUGUUAAUUUUUCUUAAACCCUUGUAUUUUAUGCUAGUUGAAUCUUUGUUGUGUUUGUAUGCUUUGUUUAUAUUAAUACUCCUUAUUCCCCAUUCCAUUAGGCUGUGCAUGCAACUUAAUUUUAGUUAAUUUUGUUUGUUACACUGUAUGUGCUUUAUCUUGUUUCUUUUUUAUGCUGUAUAAGUUCUAUCAUAAAUUUUUAUGCACUUUUAUAAAUAAGUUUAAUUUUAUCUAUUUAUUUAUUUAUAUAUAUUUUUUAGGAAACCUUCAAUUAUGUAUUUAUAAAUUGUAGAUGUUAACUUAUAACUAUUACUAUUUUAUUAAUUUUUUAUUUUUUAUUAUUAUUUUUAUUUAUUUCACAUUGCUAUAUGUAUCAUACUUAAAUUUCUAGACUACAGUCAUUUAUUACUUUUAGAAACUGUUAUUACCUUUAAUACAAUAUGUAGUCUUGUAGAUCUACUGUGCAUGUCAUCAAGCUAUGCCUUAAUUUACCAUCUUAUUGUAAAGUUCUUCUUAACCUUGAUACUCUUAUUUCAUGCUUAAGCUGCUAAUAGUUUUAUAUGUUUUUAUUUUCAGAACUGUUAUAUGUUAGCAAAUAUGUUUUAUGCUUUUGUUAUUGUCGGUAAAUAGCUUAUUAGCUAAUGUUUCUUGUAAUAUGUAAACCGACUUAAAAUAAAGUUUCUUGUAUCUUGUAUCU
Ruditapes philippinarum (Manila clam) is the source of this 1210-nucleotide long non-coding RNA. RefSeq lists it as uncharacterized. The record is from RefSeq and is a predicted model, not a curated record. The transcript is spliced from 2 exons. Lineage: Eukaryota; Metazoa; Mollusca; Bivalvia; Venerida; Veneridae.